UACGUAGGGGGCUAGCGUUGUCCGGAUUUAUUGGGCGUAAAGAGCGUGUAGGCGGCCAGGUAGGUCUGGUGUGAAAACUCGAGGCUUAACCUUGAGAUGUCAUCGGAAACCAUCUGGCUAGAGUCCGGGAGAGGAGAGUGGAAUUCCUGGUGUAGCGGUGAAAUGCGCAGAUAUCAGGAAGAACACCCGUGGCGAAAGCGGCUCUCUGGAACGGUACUGACGCUGAGACGCGAAAGCGUGGGGAGCGAACAGG
This 253-nucleotide ribosomal RNA is filed under the name uncultured bacterium. RNAcentral's name for it is "partial 16S ribosomal RNA". It matches the Rfam family "Bacterial small subunit ribosomal RNA", at positions 524 to 776 of the family's 1533-position model. The record is from RNAcentral.